CGCAACCCUGUCCUUAGUUACCAGCACGUUAUGGUGGGCACUCUAAGGAGGACUGCCCGGUGGACAAACCGGAGGAAGGUGGGGAUGACGUCAAGUCAUCAUGGCCCUUACGGCCUGGGCUACACACGUGCUACAAUGGUCGGUACAAAGGGUUGCCAAGCCGCGAGGUGGAGCUAAUCCCAUAAAACCGAUCGUAGUCCGGAUCGCAGUCUGCAACUCGACUGCGUGAAGUCGGAAUCGCUAGUAAUCGUGAAUCAGAAUGUCACGGUGAAUACGUUCCCGGGCCUU
Molecule: ribosomal RNA, 288 nt
Filed under: uncultured Pseudomonas sp.
Lineage: Bacteria; Pseudomonadati; Pseudomonadota; Gammaproteobacteria; Pseudomonadales; Pseudomonadaceae
Description: partial 16S ribosomal RNA
Rfam family: Bacterial small subunit ribosomal RNA
Source: RNAcentral